RNAcentral lists this ribosomal RNA (433 nucleotides) under uncultured bacterium. RNAcentral's name for it is "partial 16S ribosomal RNA". It matches the Rfam family "Bacterial small subunit ribosomal RNA", at positions 29 to 507 of the family's 1533-position model. The record is from RNAcentral.
AACGAACGCUGGCGGCAUGCCUAACACAUGCAAGUCGAACGAGACCUUCGGGCUUGCUGGCGCACUGGUGCGUAACGCGGGGGAACCUGCCCUUAGGUUCGGAAUAACUUGCGGAAAGGGGUGCUAAUACCGGCUAUUGUCUCCCGACCAAAGGUUGAUCGCCUUUGGAUGGGCGUGAGUUGUAUCAGCUAGUUGGUAGGGUAAAAGCCUAUCAAGGCUACGAUAGAUAGCUGGGUUGAGAGGAUGAGCAGCCACACUGGGGGUAGGCCACGGUCCAGAAUCCUAGACGAGGGAGCAGUGGGGGAUAUAGGAAAGUGGGGGGUGGCAUGAUCGAGCAAUGCCGGGUGAGUGAUGAAGGCCUUGGGGUUGUAAAGCUCUUUUACACCGGAUGAUAAUGACAGUACCGGGAGAAUAAGCUCCGGCUAACUCCGUG